GUAAGAACCAGAACGCCAGCUGCCCCAGCGGCGCUCGCACCAUCCACCCUUGAAAUUGCCGUAGAAGGCAAGACUAUACAGUGCCCAGAGAAAGCAGGCUCUGGCCAGGCGUGGUGGCUCACACCUGUAAUCUCAGAACACUGGGAGGCCAAGGCGGGAAGAUCCCUUGAGACCAGGAGUUUGAGACCAGCGUGAAUAAGAUGGGUGAAAAUGCUGUGAUACCUUUCCUCAGCCCUCAAAAGGGUCAUGGCUGCCGGGAGUGGUGGCUCAUGCCUAUAAUCCCAGCACUUUGGGAGGCCGAGGUGGGCAGAUCACCUGAGGUCAGGAGUUUGAGACCAGCCUGGCUAACAUGGCGAAACCCUUUCUCUACUAAAAAUACAAAAAUUAGCCAGUCGUGGUGGCGGGCGCCUGUAAUCCCAGCUACUUGGGAAACUGAGGCAGGAGAAUCGCUUGAACCUGGGAGGUUGGAGGUUGCAGUGAGCCGAGAUUGGGCCACUGCACUGCAGCCUGGCCAAUGGAGCAUUUCAAAAAAAAAGAAAGAAAGAAAGAAAAAGGAGGGGGGUUGUCAUGGUUGACACUCCUAUAAUGAAAGACAGGUUAACAAGACAAAAGCACGGCAAAUUUAUUCAGUCAGAAUUUUGCGUGACACGGAAGCAUUCACAAUGAAGACUCAAAGACCCAAGGGAAAACUGUCCAUUUUUAUGCUUAGAUUCAAUGAGGAGUGGACAACCAUGUAAAAAUGGGAUUGGACAAAAAGGAAAUAAUCUAAUGUAAUAGAUUGAAGGGGAACAACCCAGCAAGGCCUGACUAUUUGGAUUCUUCUUGGCCUCUCUGUGUGGCAUUCCUUCCUCCCUGGUAUAGAGCAGGACCCCUUCUGGAAUAAGGGUUUUAUGAUCUACUAUCAGACAAGGUAGACCAGAGAAUUUCUUUAUGGCCAGCUCAUAUGCAGAAAGGCAAUGGAAGUUGAGAGAAAUAUGUUUAGUUUCUAUGACCCACUGUGGGGCAGAGGAAUUCUGAUUUCUAUGGCCUGCCUUAGGGUAGAAGGGGGACCAGGAGACAGGAGGGCAGGAGAAGCCCAGAGAGAGACUUUGUUUCUAGGGUCCUUCCAGUAUCCUUCGGCUCAAAGUACUCAGCAUAUCAAAGCACCUUACUUUGGGGCAUUGUUUUUCUGAGCUCCAAUGCUGUAAAAGACACAAUGGUUUUUAUUUUCCAAAAAUUGCUAGAUGCAGCUUUUUGCAUUUGCCACAAUCUUAUUACCACCUGUAAGUAAGCACCACUAGCUGAUAGUUUUUAUUCAUAAAACAUCAUCAUUGUAUCCUAAGAGAAUGAGAUUGGUAUUGGUCUUUAGAUUUUACUUCUAUAAGCAGAUCAGCUACAUGGAUGAAAGACUGAUAUAAAAUGGAAAGCUGAAUUUCCAGAAUUUUAGGGAUAUUUGCACUCAAAGAAUCUAAUAACAGAAUAUUUAGAUCUGCUUAUUAAUCUAUCAUUUUAAUUACAUUUUAAUUUAUGAAUUUAAAGUUACAAUGAGUAAAAAAUCCUUUUAGGUUUUUAUUAAUCAGUAACACCUGAACAGUUUUUGUAAAUUGCUUUAGAGUAGAUUUACUCCAGACGAGGCAGCUGAGUCCGGAAUACCUUUCCCCUAAGGAAAGCAACCUUGUUGCCAUGCAGCCUUCAAUUUGCCUUUGUAGUCAUAGACCAUGUAUGAAAUAUCAAUCCUUUCUAAAUGAAGUGACUGCCAAUCAAAUCUUUCUUUUAAACUUCCCACUAGAGCAAUAUUAAGAAUACACAGGGAAGUUAUGAAGUUGUGAUUAUGCCGAAUAAACACAAAUUCCUGGCCCUUCUUAACCAUGAAUUAUUUCUAAACAUUAUUAACCCAUUAUUUUUUAGAACACAUCCGUGAAAAGUGAAAACAAUGGAUAGAAAAACCAAAACUCUGACCACAUAUGUGGUCAGUUCUGUAGCCUACACUUUUCCUUUUUGAAGUGUUUUUAUUUGCCAAAGGAAGACAGCAAAGGAAAGAACCUCUUAGUGGCAAGUAGGUGUCACUGUGUACUUGUCAGCCACUGAGAGUGCACCAGUCUUGUCAGCUCCCUGGGCCGCUUGGGGAUGCAGAAGAUUCAGUUGCUUGUAGCAUAGGUGCUUUCCCCCAGGCCUAAAUAGGACUUAUUUAGAAUGUAUAAAUAAUGUUCCUUGCAUUUCCUAAUGUUUAUUUCCCUUGCCUCAUUAUCCAAAAUACUGUGAAUUUUUAGCUGAGGAAGCUGACUUCUUAUGGUGUAUCCUGGAUUUUCUUCCCUGGAAAGCCUGUGAAUUUCAAAGGAAACAAAGUUUAGGUCUCAGGCUUCCCCUUAUUUAUCUUGAGAAUGAAGGGUUUUGAAGAGGUGGCCUUUGCAAUUCAUCUCUAUGAUCCUUUUCUUUUGUUUCAAACCUACAUACUUCAGGUGCUCCAAUGUUGUUUUCUUAUAAAGUGCUUUCUUUCCUAGUUGUUGAUUAAAGUUUUUUCCAGUAUAUCUCAUUUUACAAACCUCCCCCUCUUUCUGAGUCAUUUAUCUCAUUUCCUAGGCUGAUUGUAUGAUUUCACUUAGUGAAACAGCUUCCUGUGUGCACAAGGAGUCUGUGACUAUACAGAUGUCAAUCAGUUUUUAAUUAUGUGGAGGCUGAUUAUUGUGUUUCAUAGCUUAUUUGUAAUUCUUUUCUUUUUUCUUUGCUUGCCCUUAAAGAGAGAAUGGGCAGCGUAUAGUCCAUUUUAUUGUUUGUUACUUGUUCUGGAAAAAUGUCAUAGAGAAGAAGAUAGAGGAGAUAUUUAUAAAAUAUUUAUGUUUAUAAAGUUGAAUCUGAGAAUGGAAAGAUUGUGGAUUGACUAUCUCUUUUCUAGCUCAAGAUCUAGAACUGAUGAUGUCCUUUGAUUGUUACAGUUACAGACAAGUUUUAAAGACAGCUUCAAAAUUACCUUCCCCAAAUAAUAACAUUGGGACAGGUUUGUGCUUCCUAGUUUGAUAUUGCUUCAGAGAAAGUUAGUGAGGAAAUGUUAAUACAAGGAAGUAAAGUAAAAGAAAACAAAAACCAAACACUACUAGUAUGUUUAGUAAUUAUUAUUCUGAGUAUGAGUCUUGGGACUUUUGGCCUGAUUACCUGGAGACAAAUUCCCUAAGGGAUCAUCACCCCACCUGAAAAAUGGGCUAACAUGAUUUCUUAGUUUUAGAGUUCUGUGAGUUGGAGAUUAGUUCAUCAAGCACACUUGCAAAGAACUCUAUAGGGGUAGUCAGGAGACAGCCUCCAGCUCCAUCUCUGUCACUCCAUAGUUGUAUAUGGCUUUGGCCAGUCACUUUAUCUCUCUGUGAAUUUCCUUAUGUAUGAAGUGAGCUUCACCAGCUUCUCUCUGUGCCUCUUCCAGCUCCUUGUUAGCUGUCCGUACUUUUGUUAAGAUGGCCUCAGGAGAACAGGGUAGGUGAUGGUGAAGCAUAGACUUGAAGUCAGAUGUUUGUAAUUGGGGUUCCAUGGGUGAGCUUCAGAGGGACAUGAAUCCCUUGAAGUUUUAUGCAAAUGUGUGUAUGCAUGUGCAUUUUUAUGAAUAGAAGAUUUUUUCCCAUCAGAUUCUCAGUGGCAUCUGUGACUCCCUAUCCCUCUUUCACAAGGUUAAGAACUACUGUAUUGUAGGAGAGGGAGAUAAAUGAAGGCUGGAGGGAGUAACUGGUGAAGGCUUUAUGAAAGAGGAAGUUCCUGAGUUGGCUUUGGAGCCUGAGUUUUAAUAGAUAGGAGAAGGAAAGGAGCAUUCCAGUAGAUGGUAACAAUAUGAAUAAAGGGAUGUAGCUAAUUCUUAUGGCAAGUAUAAUAUGUCAGUCACUGAUUGUCUUUAUAAAUCCCACAACAGGCCUAAGAGGUAGAUGUUAUCAAUAUCCUCAUCUUAUAGAUGAGAAGACUGAGGGUCAUAAAGAUUAAGUUAUUAAGUUACUAUGCAGUUAAUAGUUUGUAGAAUCAGGAUUUGAACCUUUGCAGUCCGAUCUCAGAGUCCAUGCACAUAAACACUACAUCAUAAAGCUUCUUCUUUCUGGUUCACUAGCAAUUUGAUUUGCCUAGAAUAGAUGAUUUGUAUUGGGGACAGGUAAGAAAUAGGCUUGGCAAAUGGUCAGGAUGGUGCCAACUGUGGUGCAACUUUAGGAUCAAGAAGAAGAAUUUCAAUUUGAUGCUAUAGGCAAUAGGGAGUCAUGGAAGGUUUUAGACCAGUGAAGACAUAACCACAAUGGUAUUUUCUUAACUUUAUUAUUUAAAUCUUCCAUGUUCUUACUAAUUUUGUGUUUUCUUGAUCUAUCAGUUACUGAAAGAUGUGUUGAAACUUUCUACUUUGAUUAUAAAUUCCCAUUCUGUAUUUGAUGCUCUAAUAUUAAAAGCAUAACAUUUUG
RNAcentral lists this long non-coding RNA (4397 nucleotides) under Homo sapiens (human). Its description in RNAcentral is "PREDICTED lncRNA (TCONS_00255611)". The record is from RNAcentral. Lineage: Eukaryota; Metazoa; Chordata; Mammalia; Primates; Hominidae.